RNAcentral lists this ribosomal RNA (254 nucleotides) under uncultured bacterium. Its description in RNAcentral is "partial 16S ribosomal RNA". It matches the Rfam family "Bacterial small subunit ribosomal RNA", at positions 524 to 776 of the family's 1533-position model. The record is from RNAcentral.
UACGUAGGGGGCAAGCGUUUAUCCGGAAUCAUUGGGCGUAAAGCGCGUGUAGGCGGCCCGGUAAGUCCGCUGUGAAAGUCCAGGGCUCAACCCUGGAAUGCCGGUGGAAACUGUCGGGCUAGAGUCCGGAAGAGGCGAGUGGAAUUCCUGGUGUAGCGGUGAAAUGCGCAGAUAUCAGGAGGAACACCAAUGGCGAAGGCAGCUCGCUGGGACGGUACUGACGCUGAGACGCGAAAGCGUGGGGAGCAAACAGG